This 1408-nucleotide long non-coding RNA is filed under the name Cricetulus griseus (Chinese hamster). Its description in RNAcentral is "lncRNA (ENSCGRG00015033586.1)". The record is from RNAcentral. Lineage: Eukaryota; Metazoa; Chordata; Mammalia; Rodentia; Cricetidae.
CAGGCAGAUCAGUGGUGCCAGAGAGGUGGCUGAGAGUUCUAUAUCCUAAUCAACAGACAGCAGGAAGAGAGGAACACUGGGCAUGAUGGCUUGAGCAUUUAGAAUCCCAAAGCCCAUCCCCAGUGACAUACUUCCCCCAACAAGGCCACAUCAACUACAAAGACCACACCUCCUAAUCCUUGUCAAGUAGAGCCACUCCCUGUGAGCCUAUGGGGGCCAUUUUCACUCAGACCACCACAACAUGGAAGAGCCUCUUCACCCUGCAGUAUCAAUUAGAUCACCCAAGAUCUAAUUUUUAAUAUAGAAACGAAUACACAUACUAUUCUAGAUUCAUUUCUGUUGCUGUGAUAAAGUUCCCCAACAAAAAACAAUAGAGAAAGGUUUCUUUCCAUUUACAAUUCCAGAUUGCAGUUGAUUACUGGAGGGAAGUCAAACAGCUACCACAACCCAUCCCUAGUCAGGAGCACGGAGGAAUCCCUACAGGACUAUCUUCAGACCUAUCUUCCCUCUCACACAGUUCCAGACCUCCAGAGUGGACUGGGCCUUCCUACAUCAAUGAAAGAAGACAGUGCCCCACAGAUAUGCCCACAGACCAAACCAAUGCCUUUCCAGGUGAUACUAGACUAUGUCAAGUGGAAAGCCUGAUGUUACGUGGGGGUCUCACAAAUGCCUGAUGACCCUGUCAAUCCCAGGCCUUGGGUGGAAGUGGGCACUGGGCUCCCAGGGUUCCCAAGGUCAGAAUAUGCUACUAAGAAAAUGUCCUGUGAAGCAAGCACAGCCCUGUACCCACCAGCCUUGGACCAUGAGGAUCCUGUGUCCGGUGGAGCCUGGUGGAAGUAUAGCAAUGUAUGUGGUAAGCAGUAGUAAGGUAUCCACGGGGUAUCCUGAUUCCUAUGUGGGGGGGGGGAGUUCAAAAGGGUCUAAUAUCUAGAAUUAUAUAGUGGCCCAGGACAGUAGUGUCCAACAGGGGGGCUGACACUGAGUCAUGCAUGUUGUGUGCACAGAUUGUCCUGCAGGGCCCUAUAUAUUCCUUGCAGAAUACUCAGGAUGGCAUGUGGUGGUGGUGCCUACAUACACAGCUCUAGAACUAGGCUUGAGAGACCCACAACUACAACCAUACAAAGGUAGGAGUCAGACCUACUGGACCUGUCCCCUCCCAAACUCCUCAGACAAAGUGUCUGUCCCCCGCCCCCUGCCUGACACACACCACCGAUGUCCGGCAUACACUGCUGGUUUACACAUCGUGCAGGAAAGUCCCCUGCUGCUGACCUACAUAAGACUCCCCAACAACACUCUUCCAUAUACAUGCUAGCAAUGAGAACCUACUAGUCACCCUUCACACACAUGCACGCACACACACACACACAGACACACACACACACACACACACACACACACACACACACAC